GAUGAACGCUGGUGGCGUGCCUAACACAUGCAAGUCGAGCGAUUCUCUUCGGAGAAGAGCGGCGGACGGGUGAGUAACGCGUGGGUAACCUGCCCUGUACACACGGAUAACAUACCGAAAAGUAUGCUAAUACGAGAUAACAUGCUUUUAUCGCAUGGUAGAAGUAUCAAAGCUUUUGCGGUACAGGAUGGACCCGCGUCUGAUUAGCUAGUUGGUGAGGUAACGGCUCACCAAGGCGACGAUCAGUAGCCGACCUGAGAGGGUGAUCGGCCACAUUGGAACUGAGACACGGUCCAAACUCCUACGGGAGGCAGCAGUGGGGAAUAGUGCACAAUGGGCGAAAGCCUGAUGCAGCAACGCCGCGUGAGCGAUGAAGGCCUUCGGGUAGUAAAGCUCUGUCCUCAAGGAAGAUAAUGACGGUACUUGAGGAGGAAGCCCCGGCUAACUACGUG
RNAcentral lists this ribosomal RNA (452 nucleotides) under uncultured bacterium. RNAcentral describes it as "partial 16S ribosomal RNA". It matches the Rfam family "Bacterial small subunit ribosomal RNA", at positions 28 to 507 of the family's 1533-position model. The record is from RNAcentral.